This 2888-nucleotide ribosomal RNA is filed under the name Acinetobacter baumannii. RNAcentral's name for it is "bacterial LSU rRNA". It matches the Rfam family "Bacterial large subunit ribosomal RNA". Lineage: Bacteria; Pseudomonadati; Pseudomonadota; Gammaproteobacteria; Moraxellales; Moraxellaceae. The record is from RNAcentral.
UCAAGUAAUUAAGUGCAUGUGGUGGAUGCCUUGGCAGUCAGAGGCGAUGAAAGACGUGAUAGCCUGCGAAAAGCUCCGGGGAGGCGGCAAAUAUCCUUUGAUCCGGAGAUGUCUGAAUGGGGGAACCCACCUACUUUAAGGUAGGUAUUGCAACAUGAAUACAUAGUGUUGCAAGGCGAACGAGGGGAAGUGAAACAUCUCAGUACCCUUAGGAAAAGAAAUCAAUUGAGAUUCCCUCAGUAGCGGCGAGCGAACGGGGAUCAGCCCAUUAAGUUAUGUGUGUUUUAGUGGAACGCUCUGGGAAGUGCGAACGUAGAGGGUGAUAUUCCCGUACACGAAAGGGCACACAUAAUGAUGACGAGUAGGGCGAGGCACGUGAAACCUUGUCUGAAUAUGGGGGGACCAUCCUCCAAGGCUAAAUACUCCUGACUGACCGAUAGUGAACCAGUACCGUGAGGGAAAGGCGAAAAGAACCCCUGUGAGGGGAGUGAAAUAGAUCCUGAAACCGCAUGCAUACAAGCAGUGGGAGCACCUUCGUGGUGUGACUGCGUACCUUUUGUAUAAUGGGUCAGCGACUUAUAUUCAGUAGCGAGGUUAACCGUAUAGGGGAGCCGUAGAGAAAUCGAGUCUUAAUAGGGCGUUUAGUUGCUGGGUAUAGACCCGAAACCAGGCGAUCUAUCCAUGAGCAGGUUGAAGGUUGGGUAACACUAACUGGAGGACCGAACCCACUGUCGUUGAAAAGCCAGGGGAUGACUUGUGGAUAGGGGUGAAAGGCUAAUCAAGCCUGGUGAUAGCUGGUUCUCCCCGAAAGCUAUUUAGGUAGCGCCUCGGACGAAUACCAUAGGGGGUAGAGCACUGUUUCGGCUAGGGGGUCAUCCCGACUUACCAAACCGAUGCAAACUCCGAAUACCUAUGAGUACUAUCCGGGAGACAGACUGCGGGUGCUAACGUCCGUAGUCAAGAGGAAAACAAUCCAGACCGCCAGCUAAGGCCCCAAAAUCAUAGUUAAGUGGGAAACGAUGUGGGAAGGCAUAGACAGCUAGGAGGUUGGCUUAGAAGCAGCCACCCUUUAAAGAAAGCGUAAUAGCUCACUAGUCGAGUCGGCCUGCGCGGAAGAUGUAACGGGGCUAAAACUAUGUGCCGAAGCUGCGGAUGUAUACUUUGUAUACGUGGUAGGGGAGCGUUCUGUAAGCCGAUGAAGGUGUGUUGAGAAGCAUGCUGGAGGUAUCAGAAGUGCGAAUGCUGACGUGAGUAACGACAAAACGGGUGAAAAACCCGUUCGCCGAAAGACCAAGGGUUCCAGUCCAACGUUAAUCGGGGCUGGGUGAGUCGACCCCCUAAGGCGAGGCCGAAAGGCGUAGUCGAUGGGAAAAUGGUUAAUAUUCCAUUACUUCUGUGUAAUGCGAUGAGAGGACGGAGAAGGCUAAAUCAGCCUGGCGUUGGUUGUCCAGGUGAAAGGAUGUAGGCAUGUAUCUUAGGCAAAUCCGGGGUACUCUAUGCUGAGAUCUGAUAGCAAGCUGUACUUGUACAGCGAAGUGGUUGAUGCCAUGCUUCCAGGAAAAGUCUCUAAGCUUCAGUUACACAGGAAUCGUACCCGAAACCGACACAGGUGGUCAGGUCGAGUAGACCAAGGCGCUUGAGAGAACUCUGCUGAAGGAACUAGGCAAAAUGGUACCGUAACUUCGGGAGAAGGUACGCUGUUGUUGGUGAUGGAACUCGCUUCCUGAGCUGACGACAGCCGCAGAAACCAGGCCGCUGCAACUGUUUAUUAAAAACAUAGCACUCUGCAAACACGAAAGUGGACGUAUAGGGUGUGAUGCCUGCCCGGUGCUGGAAGGUUAAUUGAUGGGGUUAGCGUAAGCGAAGCUCUUGAUCGAAGCCCCAGUAAACGGCGGCCGUAACUAUAACGGUCCUAAGGUAGCGAAAUUCCUUGUCGGGUAAGUUCCGACCUGCACGAAUGGCAUAAUGAUGGCGGCGCUGUCUCCAGCAGAGGCUCAGUGAAAUCGAAAUCGCUGUGAAGAUGCAGUGUACCCGCGGCUAGACGGAAAGACCCCGUGAACCUUUACUGCAGCUUGACACUGAACUUUGACCUUACUUGUGUAGGAUAGGUGGGAGGCUUUGAAGCUGGAACGCUAGUUCCAGUGGAGCCGUCCUGAAAUACCACCCUGGUAAUGUUGAGGUUCUAACUCUGUCCCGUGAUCCGGGACGAGGACCGUGUCUGGUGGGUAGUUUGACUGGGGCGGUCUCCCUAAAGAGUAACGGAGGAGUACGAAGGUGCGCUCAGCGUGGUCGGAAAUCACGCGUAGAGUAUAAAGGCAAAAGCGCGCUUAACUGCGAGACCCACAAGUCGAGCAGGUACGAAAGUAGGUCUUAGUGAUCCGGUGGUUCUGUAUGGAAGGGCCAUCGCUCAACGGAUAAAAGGUACUCUGGGGAUAACAGGCUGAUACCGCCCAAGAGUUCAUAUCGACGGCGGUGUUUGGCACCUCGAUGUCGGCUCAUCUCAUCCUGGGGCUGAAGCAGGUCCCAAGGGUAUGGCUGUUCGCCAUUUAAAGAGGUACGCGAGCUGGGUUUAGAACGUCGUGAGACAGUUCGGUCCCUAUCUACCGUGGGCGCUGGAAAUUUGAGAGGAUCUGCUCCUAGUACGAGAGGACCAGAGUGGACGAACCUCUGGUGUACCGGUUGUGACGCCAGUCGCAUCGCCGGGUAGCUAUGUUCGGAAGGGAUAACCGCUGAAAGCAUCUAAGCGGGAAGCCUACCUCAAGAUAAGAUUUCCCUAGGACUUUAUGUCCUCUAAAGAGCCGUUCGAGACUAGGACGUUGAUAGGUUGGAUGUGGAAGCAUAGUGAUAUGUGAAGCUGACCAAUACUAAUUGCUCGUGAGGCUUGACUA